UGAUGCAGCGACGCCGCGUGAGGGAUGACGGCCUUCGGGUUGUAAACCUCUUUCAGCAGGGAAGAAGCGCAAGUGACGGUACCUGCAGAAGAAGCACCGGCUAACUACGUGCCAGCAGCCGCGGUAAUACGUAGGGUGCGAGCGUUGUCCGGAAUUAUUGGGCGUAAAGAGCUCGUAGGCGGCUUGUCGCGUCGGAUGUGAAAGCCCGGGGCUUAACUCCGGGUCUGCAUUCGAUACGGGCAGGCUAGAGUGUGGUAGGGGAGAUCGGAAUUCCUGGUGUAGCGGUGAAAUGCGCAGAUAUCAGGAGGAACACCGGUGGCGAAGGCGGAUCUCUGGGCCAUUACUGACGCUGAGGAGCGAAAGCGUGGGGAGCGAACAGGAUUAGAUACCCUGGUAGUCCACGCCGUAAACGUUGGGAACUAGGUGUGGGUCACAUUCCACGUGGUCCGCGCCGCAGCUAACGCA
RNAcentral lists this ribosomal RNA (465 nucleotides) under Streptacidiphilus carbonis. Its description in RNAcentral is "bacterial SSU rRNA". It matches the Rfam family "Bacterial small subunit ribosomal RNA", at positions 384 to 859 of the family's 1533-position model. Lineage: Bacteria; Bacillati; Actinomycetota; Actinomycetes; Kitasatosporales; Streptomycetaceae. The record is from RNAcentral.